This 253-nucleotide ribosomal RNA is filed under the name uncultured bacterium. RNAcentral's name for it is "partial 16S ribosomal RNA". It matches the Rfam family "Bacterial small subunit ribosomal RNA", at positions 524 to 776 of the family's 1533-position model. The record is from RNAcentral.
UACGAAGGGGGCUAGCGUUGCUCGGAAUCACUGGGCGUAAAGCGCACGUAGGCGGGUUGUUAAGUCGGGGGUGAAAUCCUGGAGCUCAACUCCAGAACUGCCUUCGAUACUGGCGACCUUGAGUCCGGGAGAGGUGAGUGGAACUCCGAGUGUAGAGGUGAAAUUCGUAGAUAUUCGGAAGAACACCAGUGGCUAAGGCGGCUCACUGGCCCGGUACUGACGCUGAGGUGCGAAAGCGUGGGGAGCAAACAGG